RNAcentral lists this ribosomal RNA (415 nucleotides) under uncultured bacterium. RNAcentral describes it as "bacterial SSU rRNA". It matches the Rfam family "Bacterial small subunit ribosomal RNA", at positions 8 to 447 of the family's 1533-position model. The record is from RNAcentral.
AGAGUUUGAUCCUGGCUCAGAACGAACAUUGGCGGCGUGGAUUAGGCAUGCAAGUCGAGGGAAUCCCAGCAAUGGGGGAACCGGCGUAAGGGGCAGUAAGGCAUGGGUACCUACCCUAGGGUUCGGAAUAGCCAUCAGAGAUGGUGGGUAAUACCGGAUGAUGUCGUGAGACCAAAGAUUUAUCGCCCUGGGAGGGGCCCAUGUGAUAUUAGCUUGUUGGUGAGGUAAUGGCUCACCAAGGCAAAGAUGUCUAGCGGGUGUGAGAGCACGACCCGCGCCACUCGCACUGAGACACUGGCGAGACACCUACGGGUGGCUGCAGUCGAGGAUCUUCGGCAAUGAGCGCAAGCUUGACCGAGCGACGCCGCGUGUGCGAUGAAGGCCUUCGGGUUGUAAAGCACUGUCGAGGGGGAGA